GAUGAAGAACGUAGCGAAAUGCGAUAAGUAGUGUGAAUUGCAGAAUUCAGUGAAUCAUCGAAUCUUUGAACGCACAUUGCGCCCCAUGGUAUUCCAUGGGGCAUGCCUGUUCGAGCGUCAUUUGUACCUUCAAGCUCUGCUUGGUGUUGGGUGUUUGUCUCGCCUCUGCGUGUAGACUCGCCUUAAAACAAUUGGCAGCCGGCGUAUUGAUUUCGGAGCGCAGUACAUCUCGCGCUUUGCACUCAUAACGACGACGUCCAAAAGUACAUUUUUACACUCUUGACCUCGGAUCAGGUAGGGAUACCCGCUGAACUUAAGCAUAUCAAUAAGCGGAGGA
This 337-nucleotide unclassified non-coding RNA is filed under the name soil metagenome. RNAcentral describes it as "partial contains 5.8S ribosomal RNA, internal transcribed spacer 2, and large subunit ribosomal RNA". The stretch from base 1 to 120 matches the Rfam family "5.8S ribosomal RNA", at positions 35 to 154 of the family's 154-position model. The record is from RNAcentral.